Molecule: ribosomal RNA, 253 nt
Filed under: uncultured bacterium
Lineage: Bacteria
Description: partial 16S ribosomal RNA
Rfam family: Bacterial small subunit ribosomal RNA
Source: RNAcentral
UACGAAGGGGGCUAGCGUUGUUCGGAGUUACUGGGCGUAAAGGGCGCGUAGGCGGCGCACCAAGUCAGGCGUGAAAGCCCUGGGCUCAACCCGGGAAUUGCGCUUGAGACUGGUGUGCUUGAGUACGGGAGGGGAUAGUGGAAUUCCCAGUGUAGAGGUGAAAUUCGUAGAUAUUGGGAAGAACACCGGUGGCGAAGGCGGCUAUCUGGACCGUAACUGACGCUGAGGCGCGAAAGCGUGGGGAGCAAACAGG